AAAGCCCCGCCUCCUAAUAUUUAACUUAUUGUGCUUUUAAAUUGUGUUAAUUUUAAUGUUGUGAGCCGCUUUGGGAGAAAUGCGGCAUAUAUAUAAAAUUAAUAAUAAUGGCUUUGGAGUAGGAGAAAAACAUAAAUCCAAGCCAUGGAUCCUCAUGGAUUCACAUGAUUUUUAUGUGAGAUCUGCCUGAAACUAGAUCCUGCUCCUGUGCCCUGACCCUGGGUAUUGCCAUACAGUGCAACAUCAUGGGUUUUAUGGCCAUUGUGUUUCUGCUGCACAUCUCAGACUGACUUAAGGAGUGUCACAAAGAACAAGAUGGAGUUCUCUCCAGACACAUCUCCAAAGGCUGAUUGCAAAGGCAGUUGCGUCUUUCUUCAAGACUAUACCACUAGCAUGUCCAGAGGUGGUGCUUGUGUUCCUGCUCUGCAGGUGCCCCAAGAGAGGACAACCCUGCUCCUUUACUUGCAAGUGAUGACCCCAAAUAGCUGACACAUUGCCAUCACAAACAUUUCCUAUAGCUAAACAAAAACCAGCUCCCUGUCCUCAAGGAGCAUCCAGCCACAUAGUUUAAAAUCAGCAGAAAAAGGGGAGGAAGAGGACACAAGUGCAGGAAGUGAUGAAUGGAAAGAAAACUCAGGAUUGCUCAUACUUCCUUAGCUUUGCGAGAGAUGCAGAGGACUUGGGAGGUGAUGAACAGAAGGGUCAGCCACAGGUGAUGCAAAACUCUGUGGUUGACAUCUGUAACUGAAUAUGGUCGGGCUCGGAGGAUCUCCUCUCAUUUCCUCUUCAGAGACAUGGAUCGAUGCUCCUUUGACAACUGGGUUCCAGGUAAGCCCUGCAGCUCCCCCAUAUUGUGGUCAAUGUGUGGCUGGUCAGCUGUGGCUCAUUCCAGCAAAACCUCUCAGAGGAUAGAUGGAGGUUUCUAGGAGAGAAACCAGUACUUUCUAGGAAUGAUCAUAGGUUGGCUGCCAGCUGACACGAGGAACUUAAGGGGGUCUGUCAACAUUUGCCGUCUACUGAGUCAUGGGCAGGGGGAAGA
Molecule: long non-coding RNA, 1039 nt
Filed under: Pogona vitticeps (central bearded dragon)
Lineage: Eukaryota; Metazoa; Chordata; Lepidosauria; Squamata; Agamidae
Description: lncRNA (ENSPVIG00000007169.1)
Source: RNAcentral